GAUUUCUGGCUUGAAACAUUUUGCCGGCCACGGUUUCGUGUGUUAGUGCUUGAUGUUCUGGCCAUCCUUCCAAUUGCUAUUCACUUCUCUUCAUUGAUUGGUGAGUGGUAUUGGAUCUUUUACUUUGAAAAAAUUAGAGUGUUUCAAGCAGGCUUUUGCUAUGAAUACAUUAGCAUGGAAUAAUGAGUUAGGACUUCGGUUCUAUUUUGUUGGUUUCUAGGGCUGAAGUAAUGAUUGAUAGGGACAGUUGGGGGUGCUAGUAUUCAGUGCGAAGAGGUGAAAUUCUUGGAUCCACUGAAGACUAACUUAUGCGAAAGCAUU
Molecule: ribosomal RNA, 321 nt
Filed under: Sandonidae sp.
Lineage: Eukaryota; Cercozoa; Glissomonadida; Sandonidae
Description: SSU rRNA
Rfam family: Eukaryotic small subunit ribosomal RNA (bases 62-321)
Source: RNAcentral